This 73-nucleotide transfer RNA is filed under the name Trichonephila clavipes. It matches the Rfam family "tRNA". From Rfam's summary of the family: Transfer RNA (tRNA) molecules are approximately 80 nucleotides in length. Their secondary structure includes four short double-helical elements and three loops (D, anti-codon, and T loops). Further hydrogen bonds mediate the characteristic L-shaped molecular structure. tRNAs have two regions of fundamental functional importance: the anti-codon, which is responsible for specific mRNA codon recognition, and the 3' end, to which the tRNAs corresponding amino acid is attached (by aminoacyl-tRNA synthetases). tRNAs cope with the degeneracy of the genetic code in two manners: having more than one tRNA (with a specific anti-codon) for a particular amino acid; and 'wobble' base-pairing, i.e. permitting non-standard base-pairing at the 3rd anti-codon position. The record is from Rfam by way of RNAcentral. Lineage: Eukaryota; Metazoa; Arthropoda; Arachnida; Araneae; Nephilidae.
GUUCAUGUAGCGUAAUGGAUAGCGCAUUGGACUUAUAAUCCAAAGGACGUGGGUUCAAAUCCUACCUGGGAUA